UACGUAGGUGGCAAGCGUUAUCCGGAUUUAUUGGGCGUAAAGGGUGCGUAGGCGGUCCGUUAAGUCAGCGGUAAAAUUGCGGGGCUAAACCCCGUCGAGCCGUUGAAACUGGCAGUCUCGAGUUGGAGAGAAGUAUGCGGAAUGCGCGGUGUAGCGGUGAAAUGCAUAGAUAUCGCGCAGAACGCCGAUUGCGAAGGCAGCAUACCGGCGCCCAACUGACGCUGAGGCACGAAAGCGUGGGGAUCGAACAGG
RNAcentral lists this ribosomal RNA (252 nucleotides) under uncultured Bacteroidales bacterium. Its description in RNAcentral is "partial 16S ribosomal RNA". It matches the Rfam family "Bacterial small subunit ribosomal RNA", at positions 524 to 776 of the family's 1533-position model. The record is from RNAcentral. Lineage: Bacteria; Pseudomonadati; Bacteroidota; Bacteroidia; Bacteroidales.